Long non-coding RNA from Brachypodium distachyon (stiff brome), 500 nucleotides. RefSeq lists it as uncharacterized. Lineage: Eukaryota; Viridiplantae; Streptophyta; Magnoliopsida; Poales; Poaceae. The transcript is spliced from 2 exons. The record is from RefSeq and is a predicted model, not a curated record.
GGCAAACACCAGUAUGUCACAUGCUAAAAUGAAGAGGAGGAGAACCUACAAGGUAAUGCAGAAAAAUUGGUGAGCCAUGGUGAGCAAGAAGGAAAAGACAGUAAUACACGCGUCUAAUACAGCAAGGUGAUGAGGGCCUGACUUCAACUGCCUCCUAAUCUACUAUCGAUUGUACUGCUUCAAGAUUUCUACAAUUAAGGUUUAGACUCCAGACACUGCAUAUAAGCACUACCCUUAUAAGGAAAGCCCCUACCUCAUAUAUCAGAGAUUCAGUUUUGCUGAAGUAUGGCAACUGCCCAAGAAAGUAAAGAUCCCUUUGAUCACAAGCAUCCUGAGCAUCUUUCCAGCACCAGAGAGGCUUCUGAAAACACAAACAAAACAAAUUCAUGAUCAUUACCAUAAGGGAAUCAUGACAUUGUGUGUACUUUCUUCUAUAUUUUCACCGUGGCAAGCGUUUCGUUGAGAGAAUGAAGUGGAAUAUAAUGGAAUGGUUCUACUUU